Molecule: ribosomal RNA, 253 nt
Filed under: uncultured bacterium
Lineage: Bacteria
Description: partial 16S ribosomal RNA
Rfam family: Bacterial small subunit ribosomal RNA
Source: RNAcentral
GACGGAGGGUGCAAGCGUUGUUCGGAAUUACUGGGCGUAAAGGGCGCGUAGGCGGUCUGUUAAGUUCGGUGUGAAAGCCCCCGGCUCACCUGGGGAACUGCGCCGGAAACCGACAGACUCGAGUACCGGAGAGGAGGGUGGAAUUCCUGGUGUAGCGGUGAAAUGCGUAGAUAUCAGGAGGAACACCGGUGGCGAAGGCGGCGUGCUGGACCUUUUCUGACGCUGAGGCGCGAAAGCUAGGGGAGCAAACGGG